UGCCGGGUCGUCUAAUGGUAGGACACUUGGUUUUGGUCCAAGGUAUUGGGGUUCGAGUCCCUGCCCGGCAGCCA
RNAcentral lists this transfer RNA (74 nucleotides) under bacterium. RNAcentral describes it as "tRNA-Gln". It matches the Rfam family "tRNA". From Rfam's summary of the family: Transfer RNA (tRNA) molecules are approximately 80 nucleotides in length. Their secondary structure includes four short double-helical elements and three loops (D, anti-codon, and T loops). Further hydrogen bonds mediate the characteristic L-shaped molecular structure. tRNAs have two regions of fundamental functional importance: the anti-codon, which is responsible for specific mRNA codon recognition, and the 3' end, to which the tRNAs corresponding amino acid is attached (by aminoacyl-tRNA synthetases). tRNAs cope with the degeneracy of the genetic code in two manners: having more than one tRNA (with a specific anti-codon) for a particular amino acid; and 'wobble' base-pairing, i.e. permitting non-standard base-pairing at the 3rd anti-codon position. The record is from RNAcentral.